CAGGAAGUGUGUCGUUUGGAUGUGCCGCGCCAAAGUGUGUUUAUAAGGAAACAAACUGUGUUGACAUGUAUUGUUGCUGUGUCUGUUUGCCCUCACCUUGUUCAACUUCUGACUUCAUGGAUCGUUCCAAUAAGAUGAAGUUUUCCCCAGUCUGGAAUCAUUUUGAUCUUUUGACGGCAAAUAAGGUGAAGUGUUGGCUCUGCUCCACAGAGCUAUCUUACAUCAAUAAGAGCACUUCAUCAAUGCUGAAGCAUUAUAGAGCUCAGCAUGGCAAUGAAGAAUUGGCAGAUACUUGUGUGAGUACCCCAGUUCCUAACAAGCAAGCAGUGGAUGAGGCUGUGGUCAACAUGAUCAUCAAAGACUGUCAGCCACUCACCAUUGUUGGAAAUGAGGGAUUCAGGGAGCUCCUGAAGCUUAUUGCACCCUCAUAUGUUCUACCAAGCAGGAAGGCCAUCAAAGACUUGGUGAUCCAGAAAUAUGAGGAGGAAAAGGAAAAAACAAAAAUGGACCUCCAGAGCGUCGUUGCUAUUAGUUUAACAGCUGAUAUGUGGACGUCCAUUAAUAUGAAGGCAUAUCUUGCUGUUACUUGCCACUAUGUGGACAAAGAAAGCCAUGAACUCCGUUCAUCAGUCUUGGGAGUGCAGCAUUUUCCUCAGAGACACACUGUCUCAGGGUCAAAUGUUAUUCCAUUGAUGAGAAUGAUCCACAUUGAAUUUCAACGUCAAGCCUCAACAGUGACAAAAACAGCUGCUCAACAGCUGGCUGAAAAUCUGAGAAAGCGGCUAACUGAGUCUAUCUGCAACCUGGAAUCGCUCAGUGUGAUGACACUGGCAACACUGUUGGACCCCAGGUUUAAAACAGUUGGCUUCUUUAGUCCACUAAAAGCAACUGAAGCUGUCAAGAGACUGAAGUCGGAGUGUGCUGCUGAAAUGAGGAGCCAUGAGCCUGACCCAGCAGGAGAAGAGCCUAGCUCUUCACAUGGAUCAGAACCCAGUUCAGGGCACAAUCUCUGGAAACCUCUGGAUAUGGAGGUUGAGGAGAACAACUCGACCUCGAAUACUACAGCUGGUUCCAUAGUUGAAGUCCAACGCUACCUGGCUGAAACCAACACACCCAGAGCACAAGAUCCGUUACAAUAUUGGAAAAAUAACCAGAAAACAUAUCCACACCUGUAUCAACUCGCACUUAAAUUUUUAUGCACACCAUCCUCAUCUGUACCCUGUGAGAGAGUUUUUUCUCAGGCAGGGGAACUGAUGUCCAAGAAGAGAAAUCGCCUUGGAGCAAAGACACUACAAAAACUUUUGUUCCUCAAUAAAAGUAUAUGAAUGAA
This is a long non-coding RNA of Amphiprion ocellaris (clown anemonefish), 1330 nucleotides long. NCBI's taxonomy places the organism in Eukaryota, Metazoa, Chordata, Actinopteri, Pomacentridae. The record is from Ensembl.